AUGGGGUUCGUCGAUGAGUACAGGCAGGUGGAGGCCCACGGCAACACCAAGUUGCACGUGAUCCACACCAACCCAACCCACAAUCUGCACAACCGCAUCGUCGGCGAGAUCAUGCAGUUCAUUCAUUGUAGCCAUCCCACCUUAAAUUCAGACCCCCACCAAGGCUUUCUCAUCCACAACAACACAAGUCACCAUUGCGCUGCCACCAAACCCCUCCACCUCAUCAAUCUCCACAGAAGACACCAAGCCCUACUGCCCGCGAUGGGGUUCAUCAAUGAGUACAGGCAGGUGGAGGCCCAUGGCAACAUCAAGUUGCACGUGAUCCACACCAACGACAAGAAGCAGAUGGCGACUUCCCUCGAGCAGUACAAGCACCACCUCAGGCUCCACAGACACAAGAUCGUCGGAAUUGAUCUGGAGUACACCAACGAGCCUGACGAGAUGCAGAGACCCGCUCUCAUCCAACUCUCUGUCGGCAAGACUCAGCUGGUGCUGCUCUUCCAACUGAACGUCGCUGAAAGGUGUACCGUCUUCGACAACUUCCUUGCCGACCCUAGGUACAUGUUUGCUGGCUUCUCCAUCGACACCGACAAAACCAGGCUCGAGCGCGUCAAUUUGGAGGUCGCCAACUCAGUCGAUAUCCAGAAGGAAUGGAGGGUGCCCGAGGCCACCAAGGAGUUGGACUCCCCUGCAGACAUUGCCUGCAUGCUCGUCGACGACUACUACAACAACAUGAAGAAGAAGAUCACCAACGAAGAACACAGGCGCUGGGACUCCCUGCCCCUGUCCAUGAGGCACAUCGAGUACGCGGCAAGGGACGCGUAUGCAACGUACGAGAUAUGGAACCGCAUCACCCUCACCUAG
This 864-nucleotide ribosomal RNA is filed under the name Triticum aestivum (bread wheat). Its description in RNAcentral is "partial small subunit ribosomal RNA". Lineage: Eukaryota; Viridiplantae; Streptophyta; Magnoliopsida; Poales; Poaceae. The record is from RNAcentral.